RNAcentral lists this ribosomal RNA (400 nucleotides) under phytoplankton environmental sample. RNAcentral describes it as "partial small subunit ribosomal RNA". It matches the Rfam family "Eukaryotic small subunit ribosomal RNA", at positions 587 to 993 of the family's 1831-position model. The record is from RNAcentral.
AGCUCCAAUAGCGUAUAUUAACGUUGUUGCAGUUAAAAAGCUCGUAGUUGAAUUCAAAACGUGGAUCGACUGGUUCAUCCUCAGGAUGGUACUGGUGAUCCUGUUUACAUGGCCGUGAACUUUGGAUGAUCUUAAUCGACUGUCUUUAGUAAUCGGCAUGUUUACUGUGAACAAAACGAAGUGAUUAAAACAGGCUAAUGCCUGAACGGUGGUGCAUGGAAUAAUGAAAUAAGACUUCGGUUUUAUUUUGUUGGUUUUAGAGAUCGAAGUAAUGAUUAAAAGGAACUGACGGGGGCAUCUGUAUACCAGGGUUAGAGGUGAAAUUCUUAGAUCCUUGGUAGACAAACUAUUGCGAAAGCAUUUGCCAAGAAUGUUUUCAUUAAUCAAGAACGAAAGUAGG